AGCUUUUAGCAGUGGCAGUAUUGCUGCCAAUGAGGUUUAUCUGAGGCAUGAUUAUUGCUAAUUACAAUAUACUAGAAUUUUUCUUAUAUGUAUCCAUA
Molecule: small nuclear RNA, 98 nt
Filed under: Octodon degus (degu)
Lineage: Eukaryota; Metazoa; Chordata; Mammalia; Rodentia; Octodontidae
Description: U4 spliceosomal RNA (ENSODEG00000022823.1)
Rfam family: U4 spliceosomal RNA
About the family: U4 small nuclear RNA (U4 snRNA) is a component of the major U2-dependent spliceosome. The structure of U4 snRNA from yeast and human has been reported.
Source: RNAcentral